GAGCAAGAAACUAAAAGUAGUAUGGUUUCGGCCCAUAGUUAUGGUUACAUUUCGUACCCUUGUUCU
This 66-nucleotide transfer RNA is filed under the name Margaritifera dahurica. RNAcentral describes it as "tRNA-Arg". Lineage: Eukaryota; Metazoa; Mollusca; Bivalvia; Unionida; Margaritiferidae. The record is from RNAcentral.